UACGGGGGGGGUAAGCGUUGUUCGGAAUUACUGGGCGUAAAGGGCUCGUAGGCGGACAACUAAGUCAUACGUGAAAUCCCUCAGCUUAACUGGGGAACUGCGUGUGAUACUGGAUGGCUUGGAUUUGGGAGAGGGAUGCGGAAUUCCAGGUGUAGCGGUGAAAUGCGUAGAUAUCUGGAGGAACACCGGUGGCGAAGGCGGCAUCCUGGACCAAUAUUGACGCUGAGGAGCGAAAGCCAGGGGAGCAAACGGG
This 253-nucleotide ribosomal RNA is filed under the name uncultured bacterium. RNAcentral describes it as "partial 16S ribosomal RNA". It matches the Rfam family "Bacterial small subunit ribosomal RNA", at positions 524 to 776 of the family's 1533-position model. The record is from RNAcentral.